UAUAUAGAGUCGAGCUGGAAUACUAUCGGUAGCAAGCCGGCUCCGUUGCCACCUAUUUGUUUUCGAUGAUGGAGCCUCCAAAUCGACGAUCGACACCGUUGAACAUGAUCUAUACCGCUUAAAGUAUCUAGAAAUCAAAUUUCAUGCUUUUUCGAUAUUAUUCUCUUGUCCAUCAGGUGGGCGCAAAAAUGAACGGCUGAAAAUGAAUAUCCUCUAAAAAGUGAUGAUAGGAAUUUUAUAAUCAAGAUCAAAAGUAUAGAUCUUGUUUUAAAUAGUUUAAAGAAUUUUCUAACCAAAAUUCAAUUGAUUUGGAUAGCUUUACACCGUUAAACGUGAAAACACCUCAUAUCUACCAUUAAAAUUAUAAAUUUUGAGUCAAUGAUAUCGAAAAGAUUUGAAAUUUGGUUUCUAAAUACUUCAAGUGGUAUAAAUCAUAUUCAACGGUGCCGAUCGUCGAUUCGGAGGCCCAUCAUCGAAAACAAAUGGGUGGCAACGGAGCCCGUUUGCUACCGAUAGCAUUCCAGCUCAACUAUAUAUAUAUAUAUAUAUAUAUAUAUAUAUAGUAGAGCUACUAUGCUAUCGGAAGCAUAAAGUAGUUGGUGCUUCCGAUUUUUUAGUCCUUAGAUCAACCCCAUUGAUCAUUUCUAACCAUUGGAUUAAUAUUAUUAACCAAUGGGGACCACU
This 684-nucleotide long non-coding RNA is filed under the name Ananas comosus (pineapple). RNAcentral's name for it is "long non-coding RNA (ACOM_LNC019522)". Lineage: Eukaryota; Viridiplantae; Streptophyta; Magnoliopsida; Poales; Bromeliaceae. The record is from RNAcentral.